Molecule: long non-coding RNA, 4309 nt
Organism: Lycium ferocissimum
Lineage: Eukaryota; Viridiplantae; Streptophyta; Magnoliopsida; Solanales; Solanaceae
Exons: 9
Source: RefSeq, a predicted model, not a curated record
CUCUCAUUGAGGAUGAAGAAUGCACUAUUUUCUAAUCUUUUACAACGUGUAAAUAUUAGUAAGUGUUAAAAACUUUAAACAAAUAGAAGUAUUUUCUUUGUAUUGGGACCUUUCAGUAAUUACUAACAUAAACAAUAAGGACAGGCAUAUGCCCGGACGUCUAGUACUUUUAUAUUAGAAAUGGGAGUUGGGGUGUACGAACAGGGGGACGAAUAGGGGUAUUUUGGUAAUUUCGAUUUUACUAUCUAUCUAUAGUCCACUUUCCUUCUUCUUCCAUGCUCUCCAUUUAGUGCAAGUUGGUGCAAAAUUGACAAUUUUCCUGCUUCAUUGCUUUGCAAUUCUCUUCAUCAAGAGUUCAAGUUCAAGACGUCAUUAUCUUUUGCUGAAUUUUUCAAUUCUCUUGGCUUCCCAUUUUUCUUCCCUCUUUUAGUUUCGAAUCUAUAUCUUUGAAUUUCUCCUCUUUCCAGGUAUAGAAUUUGUCUCUUUCUGAUUUCACAAUCUGGUUGCUAUUAAUCUUCUAGCAUUAAUUGUGUUUGUUUUCAAUUCUUAAGAAUGAUUUCUAGCUAGAUUUGUAAAUGACUAGGUGCAUGCCUUUUUGUUUCUGAUUUUGGGGUAAAAUGGUGUUUUAAUGUGAAACUUUUGUUCUUUAAAGGUGCGUUGCUUCCUCGUAAAAAGAUCUACCGUGAUUACUUUAUGUAAUAUGUGAUAUGUGAUCAUAAAUGACUCGCACCAUGAUGCACCUAAGGUGUUUGAUGAAAAGGAAACCUUUUGGGAGGCGCUAUUUGAUUUUUUAACUCUCAUUCUUUCAAUAUUGUAUUAGUGCUAUUUGAAUUUUUAGUGUUAGAGUGGUAUUAUUAAUCUUCAUAAUAUGUGAUGAUUGAUGUAUAAACACAUGUUUAUUUAGUGUUAUUAUGUCAAUUGCUUCUCCUAGCAUGCGAAGGCUACCUUUGAUCCAUAUAAUGAAUGGGCUCCAUUUUUGCUGGAAGGUAACUUCUCCACUUCACAUGUGCUUUUCCUCCCUCAUCUAAUUUUGCUUUUCGAAGUAGUUGCAACUUAUUACUGCUAAGUUGGUGCUUAGAGCUAUAGGAGCUUGGGAAAUGCUUAGGUUUAAAUUAUGCUUGUUGCAUUAUAGUUGAUCUUCUGGGCAAUAACCCUUAUUUCGUUGCUAAAAUACGUAUUUUUGGUAUUUAGUGUUGAUCAAGUAAAAUUUUGUUAGAGAGAUGCUCAUUAAUACUUAUGGAACCUGACUGUGUUUGAUUGAUCAUACAUGAAUAUUCUCAGGUGGUACAUUUGCUACGCAUAAGUGCAAAGUAGUAUGAAGUUGUUUUUCCUACGAAAAGAAAUUCGUGCUACACUCCACAGACAAGCAAUUAUAUGGAUGCUGCUUAAUCUACAUAUUUAUCAUUAAAGAGCUUUGACAAGUAUAAGAAGUCAGGUGCAGUUCUACUUAUCAUUGUAUUAUUGUAUAUUUGUCCAGACAUAAUUGAUGGUGUUCUGUUGCCUGCAGUGGCAGGUUGAUAAUCGAAAACCAACUGCUUUUUUCAUGUUCUCUUCCUCAGUUGGGCACUGUCUAAAAGGAGAAAGGAAACAGUAAAUCUUUGACUAUAGCCUACACUUUGAUAUCAUGUUGCGGCUAGCACGGCCAUUUAUUCGGUGACACAUGUUAAACCAUCUGUCACUUCUAGAUUCUCUACUUUGCCUUCUCCAUUGGGGUUACACGGUGCGGCAGUGCCUUGUGGCUUAAAUAUGAGAUCAGAUUAAGUGUGGCAUUUGGUUUCAGUGCUGGAGAGUGGUCUGCCAAAUGACUGCAGGUAUGUGCUUUACUCAAAGCAUUCUCUGGGUUGUUGAUAUGUUAAGGUUCAGUAGUUUCCACAGGCAAAAAGGAUAGUAAGCAGUUUGGAUGUUGCUUGAUCAUUGACCCUGAACAAGAAAAUAGUGGAUGAAAAAGAGACGCAUGCUUCUAUUGGACCUGGAGUUGGCCAAGGGACUGUUGUGGGUCAAGCUGCAGAUAGUAUUGUGAGACAGCCUAAGGCAGAGGGAAAAAUACGUGGUGCGCUAUUGCUUAGUCUAGCUUUUAUGGCAGCUUUAACAAUUUAUGGACUAAAUUGUCAGCAGGUUUGGUGAUCUUGUGGUUGAAUAUCCACUGCUCAAGGAGCUGAAAAUAUUGCCAACACAUUCAGUAGGCUUGGACUAUAGUGCGCGGCUACAAUGUAAGAAAUUUUGAAGCUAUAAAAUUAAUAGAACAUAAUGCUCUGCAACUUUUAAGAUGGAGGAGAAAUAAAAAAUGGUCUGUGGUGCAUGAAGUUAGACAACAAACUCAAAGUGGUGUUCCUAUUAUUUGUGUUGACAAGUGUCUAAGAAAAUUGUGCUACUUCUAUCUCUUUGUACUUGUUACACCUCGAAAUUUCAGGUUGCUAUGCGGUGAAUAAACUAACGCAAGUUAAGGUGUAUAUGAUACCCUACCUGUGAGAAGGGUUACUUAAUGAUUCUAAUUAAGAUUCCAAAGACAUUUGAGGCGAGAGAAGAAAGCUCGUUGGAGAAAGCUAAGGCAGAAAGUGCCUUACCUUGUGUACAAGUGUACCAGCAGGCACCAGUCACGGUCGACGGGCCGUCGACAUGUCGACGGACCAUCGAUGUGUACCAUCCCUGCGAUCAGGUAUUUGCAGGCGCGAGUCGACAGAGCCAGUCGACGGGUCGUCGACCCGCUCGUCGAACCACCUCUCUGGAAUUUUCUGGUGUCAGCUAUAAAUAGACGAGCCAUGCUCUUAUUUUUCAGAUUUCACUUCUCUCCAAGUCCUGAAAACUCUAGAAUACUCUCAAUAGCAUAUUACCACAAAUCCAAGAGGAAUUAAGGGGUAAGCACCAAGAAAUUAGUAGAAUCAAGUGCAAGGAUAUUCACUAGGGCUUGUGGAAACCAAGAAUCUUUUUGGUAUUGAAGUAGGGUUUUCUCUCAAGUGGAGUAAUUUCAUCCAAAGCCCAUUCCUAUGUGAUCAAAGGUGAGUUUCACAUUUAAUUCAUGUUACUAAGAAUAUUGAGUAGUUCAAAGGCUUGGAUUAUGGAAGAAAGUAGAGUGCGAAGUUCAAAUAUGGAAAUAAUGGAAUUCUUGAAUGGUAACUUGACUUGAAUCAUAGUUUUGACAUGCCAUGAGUGUAAUCUUGUAGUGAAUAAUACAAAUGAUGUUAAAGGAGUAUUAUAUGAGAAUAUAUAUGGUAUUAUGUCAUAGUUUUGGUUAUGGAUGACAUUGGAAGGGCAUUGUAAGGAUUGAAUAAUGUUGAACUUGAUAAAGUUUAUCGAUUGUAGUAUCGUGGGUGUUAUUAUAGACGUUUGGGAGUUGUUUAUUACAUAGAGAAGGUUGUUGAAACAAAGGAAACGCUGCCUAAUUUUCGUUAGCCCUUAGUUGUUUUAGUUGAGGCCUAAGUAUGUUCCCGGUUAUCUAAUCCUCGUACGAGUUCUCUUGAAUGUAGAAUCGCCUUCCUGGAAGGAGAACGCUAGUUGUUGAGGAGACGUCAAGGUAUGUAAGGCUAGUCCCCCUUUCUUUUAAAAGGCGUGACUCAUUUAUUACUAUCUCUAUUUAUGAUUUCCAUGACUUUCCUUCAUUCCAAAAGCUACAAGUCUAUGAUUAUUAAGAGCUUCUCUUGAGAUAAAGAUAAGAGAUAUGUUAUGAAUAUGAUAAUAAUGAUGAUGAAUCUAUGUCUAGAGAUUCCAAAGCUUAUGAUAUGAUAGCUUUAUGAAGCUAAUGAUCCUUAUAUGAUUCCUUGGUGUUAUUCAUCACCUUAUGACGCUAGUUCCUUCAAGGUAGGACAUGAUGAUCAUGACUACUCCAUAAUGGAAUCGGGGGUUCUCAACCUUACGUCACCCCGAUAGAUUCGUAGCUUUUACUUGAGUUCUUAUGCAUGCCUUAUGAUAAGUAUAUAUGUAUGAUAACACCGUGCCUAGUUGGCCGGACAUGACACCGCUAAGGCGGGCGGCUUAUGAUGACACCGUGCCUAGUUGGUCGGACAUGACACCGCUAAGGCGGGCGGCUUAUGAUAACACCGUGCCUAUUUGGCCAGACAUGACACCACUAGUGGGCGGCGUGCGAUAGUUACCCGAACGCGGGUUAACUAUGAUGGUACAUUUGAUAUGCAUGACAUGUGUUUUCUUUAAAAGUUAAGCAGGCAUAAUAUUCGCCUUAAGAGGCAAUUGACGUACAGGUUAUAUCUUUGCCUCAUGUUUCAUUAUUUCUUUAUUAUGUUGUUAUUCAUGCCUUACGUACUCAGUACAUUGUUCAUACUGACGUCCUUCUUCUUUUUGGACGUUGUGUUCAUGC